Molecule: long non-coding RNA, 1393 nt
Organism: Bubalus bubalis (water buffalo)
Lineage: Eukaryota; Metazoa; Chordata; Mammalia; Artiodactyla; Bovidae
Exons: 3
Source: RefSeq, a predicted model, not a curated record
GCCUGCCUGGAGCGCAGAACGCGGCGCGAGGAGCGCGGGCGCGCCCUCCGGUGGCCGUCCUCGGAGCUGCAGGCGCGCCGGGCCCCGCCACUGCCAGAUCCCGGAUCCAAGUGCGCAACCUGCGGGCUGCGCGCGCCGCACCCGGUGGGGUUUAUGAGCCCCCGUUAAUGUCAGCGCAAUAAUAGCCCCGGGGAGGCCAUUACACCACUAUUUCCAUCCAGAGGAGGGCUGUUCCAUCAACUGCUGCAGAAGCCUGCUCGGUGAGAAAACAGGCUGCCCAGACGUAUGGCCGGCCAGCAGUCAUGCAUCCAUCUCUCAGUAGCUGACAAGGGACUCGAGAUCAGAAACCUGCCGAUGGAGUCAGAAUUCAGCACCGUGCUCCUCAUAGCCUGCGAGGUGUCUGAGCCGUGAUACAGACGCUGAGGCCGGUGGAGAAGUUAACUGCAUGAUGACCAGACUGUAGCCAGGAGAGACGCUGCCACAACUCUGAGAAUUGGCCUCAAGAAACAGGAACAAACUGAUCCUAGAACUGAAGAUAAACUGUACCUAAAACCAUCCCGAUGACGCUGAUCAGACUGCUGAUGACCAACUUCAAGAUGACUGUCAGAGCUGACUGUGCUGUUUCUGCAAGUAACCCCCUCCCACCAUCUGUAAGAGCUCUUGCCUACUGUCAGCGAGGGCGAGUCAGCCAGUGGACAGGAAUCCACCCUCUCUGCCCCAGGUGCCGGCACCCAAAAUAAAGCAAACUUUUCUUUCCACCAGUCCAGCUCCUUAUUGGCUUUUGAGUGGCGAGCAGCCGGACCCACUCUCCAUUACACUGGGGCCUCCCUCCACAAAGGGCUUGGCCCUUGGUGAACGCUCAGUCUCUAUGGCCAGUUCUUGUGCCCCAACCUCAGAAGGUCGAGCUGAGCAGAGGCAGGCCGGGGACGCUAGGUCUAGCCACCGGGCCAGCAGCCCUACUCGGUUGGCCCGCUCUUGUUUUCAACCCAGCAUUUUACAGACUUUUCAAUUUCCCCCUCUGAUUCUGGCUUCAGGCUGCCUUGCUGGUGUAUGAAUAAUAAAUUACAAUGUAUUGCACAGGUCUAGCUCUUUGCUAUAGUUUACUAAACACUUUUACCUACACUAUGCCACUUAAUUCUCACGACUGCUGCGAGGUGAGGAAGCCACGGGUCUCAGGAGGCGGGGGCCGGGCACAAGCUCAGAAUUCACGCCUUGGCGGUCCCGCCCCUCCCUGCCGGCCAGGAUGGCCAGGGCCCUGGCCCACCGGCGCACAGGUAGCCUUCUGUCCUGCUGACCCUGACCAGGUGUGGCGCGCCAGACACAGAGCUGUCUGCUGGACACGCGAGCAACGUUAGAAAGGCACCAGGUACUACCAGUCCAUCUGUUGUCUUCA